GAGAAACGCUGGCGGCGCACAUAAGACAUGCAAGUCGAACGGAAUUUAGUCGAAUGUUUACAUGAGACGAAAAUUUAGUGGCGGACGGGUGAGUAACACGUGAGCAACCUGCCUUUAAGAGGGGGAUAACAUUGAGAAAUCAGUGCUAAUACCGCAUAAAGCUAUUUAACCGCAUGAUUAAAUAGCCAAAAGGAGAAAUCCGCUUAAAGAUGGGCUCGCGGCUGAUUAGUUAGUUGUAGGGUAACGGCCUACCAAGACGAUGAUCAGUAGCCGAGCUGAGAGGCACAACGGCCGCAUUGGGACUGAGGACACGGGCCCAGACUCCUACGGGAGGCAGCAGUGGGGAAUCUUCCGCAAUGGACGAAAGUCUGACGGAGCAAUGCCGCGUGA
RNAcentral lists this ribosomal RNA (390 nucleotides) under uncultured bacterium. RNAcentral describes it as "bacterial SSU rRNA". It matches the Rfam family "Bacterial small subunit ribosomal RNA", at positions 28 to 404 of the family's 1533-position model. The record is from RNAcentral.